AGUGGGAUAGCUGGGUCAAAUGGUGGUUCUAUUCCCAGUUUUCUGAGGAAUCUCCAUACUGCUUUCCAGAGUGGUUGCACCAAUUUUCAGUCCCACCAGGAAU
RNAcentral lists this microRNA precursor (103 nucleotides) under Marmota monax (woodchuck). The record is from RNAcentral. Lineage: Eukaryota; Metazoa; Chordata; Mammalia; Rodentia; Sciuridae.